Molecule: ribosomal RNA, 253 nt
Filed under: uncultured bacterium
Lineage: Bacteria
Description: partial 16S ribosomal RNA
Rfam family: Bacterial small subunit ribosomal RNA
Source: RNAcentral
UACGUAGGGGGCCAGCGUUGUCCGGAAUCAUUGGGCGUAAAGCGCGCGUAGGCGGCCAGAUAAGUCCGGUGUGAAAGUCAAAGGCUCAACCUUUGAAUGCCGCUGGAAACUGCCUGGCUUGAGUCCGGAAGGGGCGAGUGGAAUUCCUGGUGUAGCGGUGAAAUGCGCAGAUAUCAGGAGGGACAUCAAUGGCGAAGGCAGCUCGCUGGAACGGUACUGACGCUGAGGCGCGAAAGCGUGGGGAGCGAACAGG